UACGUAGGGGGCAAGCGUUGUCCGGAUUUAUUGGGCGUAAAGCGCUCGCAGGCGGCCCGACGCGUCGUGUGUGAAACACCCCGGCUCAACUGGGGAGGGUCGUGCGAUACGGUCGGGCUUGAGGCCAGUAGGGGGAUGCGGAAUUCCGGGUGUAGUGGUGGAAUGCGUAGAUAUCGUAAGGAAGACCAGUGGCGAAGGCGGGUCUCUAGACAGUUCCUGACGCUGAGGCACGAAGGUCAGGGGAGCAAACGGG
RNAcentral lists this ribosomal RNA (253 nucleotides) under uncultured bacterium. Its description in RNAcentral is "partial 16S ribosomal RNA". It matches the Rfam family "Bacterial small subunit ribosomal RNA", at positions 524 to 776 of the family's 1533-position model. The record is from RNAcentral.